Molecule: ribosomal RNA, 278 nt
Filed under: uncultured bacterium
Lineage: Bacteria
Description: partial 16S ribosomal RNA
Rfam family: Bacterial small subunit ribosomal RNA
Source: RNAcentral
GACGAACGCUGGCGGCGUGCUUAACACAUGCAAGUCGAGCGGUAAGGCCCUUUCGGGGGUACGACGAGCGGCGAACGGGUAGGAGUAACAACGUGGGUGGACCUCGCCCUCCAGCUCUGGGAGUAAGCCUCGGGAAACCGGGGUACGUAAUACUGGAUAUGACUCCAUGACGCAUGUUGGUUGGGGUGGGAAAGCCUUGUGCGGCUGAGGAUGGGCCCGGCGGCCUAUCAGCUUGUUGGUGGGGUGANGGCCUACCAAGGCGGACGACGGGUAGCCGG